Molecule: long non-coding RNA, 254 nt
Filed under: Elaeis guineensis (African oil palm)
Lineage: Eukaryota; Viridiplantae; Streptophyta; Magnoliopsida; Arecales; Arecaceae
Description: long non-coding RNA (EGUI_LNC013497)
Source: RNAcentral
AUGAAGCUGAGCUAAGAUUAAUUAACAUGUGUUUGAUCUAAUUGUGGAGAUUAUCAGAGUUGGCACCUUCAGAACCAAUAAGAGCAGAGUGUGUGGCAGCGUGAAUUGGUCAACCCUCGUCCCUCGCUUCUGAUGCUUGUCAAGUUCAUGGGACCCACAUUAGGGAUGUUGGUACGAGAGUAGAAUUUAUUAAGUGGGAGGGGGGCCCGCCCUCUCUAGAAAAUGACUUCGACUUUAGCUCCCAGCUGCGAUGG